This 275-nucleotide ribosomal RNA is filed under the name uncultured Comamonas sp. RNAcentral's name for it is "partial 16S ribosomal RNA". It matches the Rfam family "Bacterial small subunit ribosomal RNA", at positions 338 to 605 of the family's 1533-position model. Lineage: Bacteria; Pseudomonadati; Pseudomonadota; Betaproteobacteria; Burkholderiales; Comamonadaceae. The record is from RNAcentral.
CCUACGGGUGGCUGCAGUGGGGAAUUUUGGACAAUGGGCGCAAGCCUGAUCCAGCAAUGCCGCGUGCAGGAUGAAGGCCUUCGGGUUGUAAACUGCUUUUGUACGGAACGAAAAGUCUUGGGUUAAUACCCUGGGAUCAUGACGGUACCGUAAGAAUAAGCACCGGCUAACUACGUGCCAGCAGCCGCGGUAAUACGUAGGGUGCAAGCGUUAAUCGGAAUUACUGGGCGUAAAGCGUGCGCAGGCGGUUUUGUAAGACAGUGGUGAAAUCCCCG